UCUGGUGAACCACAGGAGAGGUCCAACGCUACCUGGAGCAACUGAGGGUUCUCAGUAUUGAUGUAGACUUCACCAAAUAUAUUCAGGGAGCAUCACUCAUCUCAGUGCAAUAUAAAAAGUGCUGGCCAGCAAGAAAUCAGUGGAGAAGUUCAGCUACCUGCAUCUAGGACAUGAGACUACUCUUUGUACAGUAGAAGGCUAAAAGUAUCCAGCAAGUCCUGACCAGCAGAAAAGAACUAGGUAAAAUUCUACACAGCUGGAAGACUCCAGCAGAGACAGCAGCAGAGAAGGCAGCGUUAAGUUUUUAAAGACAGCAAAAAAAAAAAAAAAAAAGCAGUUUCUGAUAAAGUUACACAUUGGAAAUACAUUUUACAGAGCAUUGUAAAAACUUGAAAAGGGAAGCAAAGAAAAUUAAGGCCAACACAAGUAAGAAAGUAAGAACUGUGGGAAGAAUUCUGAAAGACAUGUUAGGAGUGUAACAAUAAAGUCACUCAAUACACGGAGUGAAAAAAUGCUCAACUUUGAAAAAGUGGUAAAAUUUUCAAGAGUAGUGAAUACAUGAAAAUGCCUGGUAUCAAUGGAAAAGUUUGGAAAAAUUUGUAUUUGGAGAAGUUACAAGAGCUUGCCGAGGGAUUUUCUGAACUCUCUCCUUUAGUUAUUUUUGGUUGAUGUUUUUUUGUUUUAUGUCAGCAGCUCCUGCAAUGUAGAUGAAAACUGGGGAAGCCCGAAGAUCAUUUAGGAUAGCGUCAAUAUUUAAAAAACAGCUGAAGCCUGCAAAAUGGUUGGACCCAAGAGCCAUGGCUGCAGGCUCUGUGCCUGAAGAUCCAAUUCUAUGAGCCCUACGACUGCACCAAGUCUCAUUAGCCAUUUCAGCCCCAAAGGACAUUCACGGAAAGAAGAAAGAAAGAAAAAAAUACCUUUUCUAUAUGAGCAAGAUGUGAUGAAGAAGGCUGAAGAGUGGAGGGGUGGAAACCUACGGGGAGGGCAGAGCACCGAACUUUGAGCUUAAACUCCUUGAGGAACAGAUUGGAGAUUCAAGAAGCCGAGGGUAAUACACAGUUUACAGCAGAGCACUAGAGAAAGCAAAUGCUUCCUCCAUGCUGUACACAUUUACAAGAGCUGAGAGAAGAAUGAAUUCUCCAAAAAUGCCAGUGUGGAAGUAAGUAGGACUGGAGUUUAUUUCCUUGGAAGCUUAGCAAAUCC
This 1203-nucleotide long non-coding RNA is filed under the name Coturnix japonica (Japanese quail). RNAcentral's name for it is "lncRNA (ENSCJPG00005008551.1)". The record is from RNAcentral. Lineage: Eukaryota; Metazoa; Chordata; Aves; Galliformes; Phasianidae.